This 414-nucleotide ribosomal RNA is filed under the name uncultured microorganism. RNAcentral describes it as "bacterial SSU rRNA". It matches the Rfam family "Archaeal small subunit ribosomal RNA", at positions 330 to 745 of the family's 1478-position model. The record is from RNAcentral.
GUGCACCAGUCGCGAAACCUUCGCAAUGCGGGAAACCGCGACGAGGGGACUCCCAGUGCCUACGCUCAGCGUAGGCUGUUCCCGAGCCUAGAAAGCUCGGGGAGUAAGGGCUGGGUAAGACGGGUGCCAGCCGCCGCGGUAAUACCCGCAGCCCGAGUGGUGGCCACUAUUAUUGGGCCUAAAGCGUCCGUAGCCGGCCCGGUAAAUGCCUGGGUAAAUCGUGAGGCCUAACCUCACGAAUUCCGGGUAGACUGCCGGGCUAGGGACCGGAGGAGGGAGAGGGGUACUCCAGGGGUAGGGGUGAAAUCCUGUAGUCCCUGGAGGACCACCGGUGGCGAAGGCGCUCUCCUAGGACGGGUCCGACGGUGAGGGACGAAAGCCAGGGGAGCGAACCGGAUUAGAUACCCCUGUAGU